Passer domesticus (house sparrow) is the source of this 780-nucleotide long non-coding RNA. RefSeq lists it as uncharacterized. The transcript has 2 exons. NCBI's taxonomy places the organism in Eukaryota, Metazoa, Chordata, Aves, Passeriformes, Passeridae. The record is from RefSeq and is a predicted model, not a curated record.
AGUCGCAGGUGUAAUGAUGCAGAACUAGCUUGAGCAAAAAUUAAACUAAAAAGUAACCCAGUAUCAAUAUCUUGUUGAGUAUACAGGAAUGCAGAUAUUCCCACUGCACAGUCAGCACUGGCAAUGAAACCCACCCAAAUCUCUUCCUAGCAACUCAGAAAUAUCCCACUUUGCUUGUAGCAUUUCUCAUUCUAAGUGUGAGAAAAUUAAAGUCAAAACCUAAGGAAGGAGAGUAAAAAAAAUGCCCAUUUGCUGUUAUUGUUGGUUUUACCCUGACUUGGGAAACAAACAAUCCAUUUCUGCUCCAUAGGUAGGACAUUAGAUAUCUCUUAUUUUCACAUGGUUUCAUUACCAACAAUUUUUCCUCCUGCUUAGUAAGCAACCAAAUAGUGACAAGCUUUUGUACAGCAUCAGAGGUUUCUUAAAUGCCAUGUUUAUAAAUAUUACCGCAGAUACAAAUUAUUCUUGCCACCUGUCCCUUAAAAUGUUAGGCUGCCCUUUAAAUGUUUAUUUUACCUGAAGUUCAUCCAUGUUGUGGAAGUUAAUGAGCCUCCUGAAACUGCAUCAUAAAUAUUUCCCUCUCUGCAGCAUUUCUUUUUACAGGAAGUGUCUGGGGGACCUCUAUAAAGAUCCACCAGAUGUGCUUUGCCAGACAUCUUUCCUGUAGGCUUCUUGAGAAUAUGGACAUAACACUCACCAUGUGAGCAACCCCCCUGGCAUCAGAAACCUCCAAGAGGAGCACAAAACUAAACUGCUGAAAGGAGCACUCCCUAGCAACAG